GACGUAGGGCGCGAGCGUUGUCCGGAUUUAUUGGGCGUAAAAGAGCUCGUAGGCGGCUUGUCGCGUCGAAUGUGAAAACUCGGGGCUCAACCCCGCGCUUGCAUUCGAUACGGGCAGGCUCGAGUUCGGUAGGGGAGACUGGAAUUCCUGGUGUAGCGGUGAAAUGCGCAGAUAUCAGGAGGAACACCGAUGGCGAAGGCAGGUCUCUGGGCGAUACUGA
This 220-nucleotide ribosomal RNA is filed under the name uncultured bacterium. RNAcentral's name for it is "partial 16S ribosomal RNA". It matches the Rfam family "Bacterial small subunit ribosomal RNA", at positions 524 to 743 of the family's 1533-position model. The record is from RNAcentral.